UGCAGUCGAGCGGUAGAGAGGAGCUUGCUUCUUCUUGAGAGCGGCGGACGGGUGAGAAAUGCCUAAGACUCUGCGUGGUAGUGGGGGACAACGUCUCGAAAGGCACGCUAAUACCGCACACGUCCUACGGGAGAAAGUGGGGGAUCUUCAGACCUCACUCUAUCAUAUGACCCUAGGUCGGAUUAGCUUGUAUGUGAGGUAGUGGCUCACCUAGGCAACGAUCCGUAUCUGGUCUGAGAGGAUGAUCACUCACACUGGAACUGACACACGGUCCACACUCCUACGGGAGGCCGCAGUGGGAAAUAUUGGACAGUGGGAGAAAGCCUGAUCCAGCCGUGCCGCGUGUGUAAAGAAGGUCCUCAGAUUGUAAAGCUCUUUAAGUUGGGAGGAAGGGUUGUAUCUUAAUACUCUGCAACUUUGACGUUACCAACAAAAUAAGCACCGGCUAUCUCUGUGCCAACACCCGCGGUAAUACAGAGGGUGCGAGCGUUUCUCAGAUUUAGUGGGCGUAACGCGCGCGUACGCGGCUUGAUAAGAUG
This 539-nucleotide ribosomal RNA is filed under the name Halopseudomonas pachastrellae. RNAcentral's name for it is "bacterial SSU rRNA". It matches the Rfam family "Bacterial small subunit ribosomal RNA", at positions 56 to 590 of the family's 1533-position model. Lineage: Bacteria; Pseudomonadati; Pseudomonadota; Gammaproteobacteria; Pseudomonadales; Pseudomonadaceae. The record is from RNAcentral.